Molecule: long non-coding RNA, 181 nt
Organism: Triticum aestivum (bread wheat)
Lineage: Eukaryota; Viridiplantae; Streptophyta; Magnoliopsida; Poales; Poaceae
Exons: 3
Source: RefSeq, a predicted model, not a curated record
GGAAAAUGCUACCAACGCAGAACAGCAACGGAACAACACGACAGAUGGAGGUUCAGGUGCAGCUGAACUGCUGAAGGCAACAAUAGGUUGCAAACUCUAAUGAUUGAGGAAGAAUUUGCUACGCCAAAAAAGAAAGCCAGCAUUCUUCUAUUUUGCUGGUCUUUUAAACCAAGAUGCGACG